ACAGUGCUCAGAAGGGAAAGACUCCGAUGGUUUGGACAUGUAAAGAGAGCAGGGGAGGACACAGUGCUGGGAGAGAUUGGAGGUAGGAAACAGUGCUCAGAAGGGAAAGACUCCGAUGGUUUGGACAUGUAAAGAGAGCAGGGGAGGACACAGUGCUGGGAGAGGUUGGAGGUAGGAAACAGUGCUCAGAAGGGAAAGACUCUGAUGGUUUGGACAUGUAAAGAGAGCAGGGGAGGACACAGUGCUGGGAGAGAUUGGAGGUAGGAAACAGUGCUCAGAAGGGAAAGACUCUGAUGGUUUGGACAUGUAAAGAGAGCAGGGGAGGACACAGUGCUGGGAGAGAUUGGAGGUAGGAAACAGUGCUCAGAAGGGAAAGACUCUGAUGGUUUGGACAUGUAAAGAGAGCAGGGGAGGACACAGUGCUGGGAGAGAUUGGAGGUAGGAAACAGUGCUCAGAAGGGAAAGACUCUGAUGGUUUGGACAUGUGAAGAGAGCAGGGGAGGACACAGUGCUGGGAGAGAUUGGAGGUAGGAAACAGUGCUCAGAAGGGAAAGACUCUGAUGGUUUGGACAUGUAAAGAGAGCAGGGGAGGACACAGUGCUGGGAGUUGUGGAGAGGUUGGAGGUAGGAAACAGUGCUCAGAAGGGAAAGACUCUGAUGGUUUGGACAUGUAAAGAGAGCAGGGGAGGACACAGUGC
Molecule: long non-coding RNA, 698 nt
Organism: Eriocheir sinensis (Chinese mitten crab)
Lineage: Eukaryota; Metazoa; Arthropoda; Malacostraca; Decapoda; Varunidae
Exons: 3
Source: RefSeq, a predicted model, not a curated record